GUCCCUUCGGGGACAUUCGAUAAAAUUAAAAUGAUACAGAGAAUAUUAACAUGACCCCCGAGCAAGGAUGACACACAAAAUCAAGUAUUCUUGUUAUCAAUAUUC
This is a small nuclear RNA of Trifolium pratense (red clover), 105 nucleotides long. NCBI's taxonomy places the organism in Eukaryota, Viridiplantae, Streptophyta, Magnoliopsida, Fabales, Fabaceae. The record is from RefSeq and is a predicted model, not a curated record.